Pezoporus flaviventris is the source of this 1859-nucleotide RNA transcript. It is a transcript of the gene named golgin A7, with no coding region annotated. The transcript has 5 exons. NCBI's taxonomy places the organism in Eukaryota, Metazoa, Chordata, Aves, Psittaciformes, Psittacidae. The record is from RefSeq and is a predicted model, not a curated record.
UGAGCGGCGGCGGCGGCGGUGGUGGUGGCGGCGGUGGAGCGGAGCCAUGAGGCCGCAGCAGGCGCCCGUGUCGGGCAAAGUGUUCAUCCAGCGGGAUUACAGCGGCGGGACCCGCUGCCAGUUCCAGAGCAAGUUCCCGGCCGAGCUGGAGAACAGGAUUGAUAGACAGCAGUUUGAAGAGACUGUCCGGACGCUGAACAACCUCUAUGCAGAAGCUGAAAAACUUGGGGGCCAAUCCUACCUUGAAGGAUGUCUCGCCUGCCUGACUGCCUACACCAUCUUCUUGUGCAUGGAAACGCACUACGAAAAGGUUCUAAAGAAAAUUGCCAAGUUCAUUCAGGAACAGAAUGAGAAGAUCUAUGCUCCUCAGGGCCUCCUUCUGACAGACCCCAUCGAAAGAGGACUAAGAGUUGUAUCCUUCUGGGGUGGCUUCCACUGCCUCCUGGUUUGUCCGUCUACGAUGUGCUUGAUCUCAGUGUGGCACCCUCUGGUCAUGCUUAUCUGUGGCACGGCAGAAUAGAUUGAAAUUACCAUUUAUGAAGACAGAGGUAUGACCAGCGGAAGAUAAAACUGUGGAGUGUCAGCAGAUAGCUCAACAGUGGACUUGCUGUAUCAAAGUUCCCCUACCUCCUACUUUAGAGCAUCAUUCCUUUCUUUGCUGCCAGAUCCACAGUGCCAUCUACUACAAGGACUAACUUCCUCAAACUGCUCCACGUGAGGUGACCCAGCUGGUCAGCAUCCAUUUUGUGGCCAACUUUUAAGCAAUGAGACAAUGAGAUCACUUUUUAGGUGUGUUUUGGUUUUAAGGGGGGCAGGUGUCCCCCAGAAAAAAAGCAGAAGUGGUAAAGCUAUUUCUGAAAGAAAUGGGGCACUUUGCCCAGCAGCAGGCUAGUUUUAGUCACGUACGCGCAGUGCUGUUCCUCCCUAGUUCUUAAACCCUUCUGCCCAUCAGAAGCUCUGGAAAGCUGCAAGCUGGAGUUGGGAAUUUCCUUCCCUCCAGGUCAGUGUUGGAGUGAGGGGACGCACAGUGCCCCUGCCUGGCGAGAAGGGACUCAAGGCAACGAGCGUUUAAUGCUUCCCGUGCUGAUUCUCAUGGAAAACCCGAAGGCAAAGUGUUCCUUGUUUUCAGUGUUUCAGUUGUCCCUAGGAAGGGGAGGAAUAGCUGGACUUUGAAUACUGGUGUUUUUUUUACUACUGUAUCCGUGCUGUUAUUGCAUCUGUCAGUGCUCGCCAGAAGAGGGGGUCUAUUCAUUCAGAAGCCAGUAAGUACAUUAAAAUGGAUGCUGAACCAAUAAACAUAAUGACACCUACCCUUCCUCCGAUUAAUAUGUGAAGUGUAAAACUGUUUCUUUAUGGAUUUAUUAUCUAUAAUUUAUAAGGAAAACACUGAUUUCACAAACUGUUAGAUAUCGUGUAAGAUGGUUUCUUAAUCCUGUCUGCUGGCACACUCUUGGCAAGUAGAACUGUGCAUUAGUAUCCCCCCUGCAUCGACAUUCCUCAGCAGUACCUGCCAAAGUAAAGUUCCUACAAACCAAGCUGGCUUAAUAUCGUAUCCUUUUCCCUUAUCAAAGCAAGGAUGUCCAGGGUUUGAAUGUCACUGUCCAGCUGUAGAAGGAAUCCAAGGAGCUAGGAAAGCAGCAUGGGAGCGCUCUGGCUGUCGGUGGCACUGCAGGUGCUAAUUCUGGAUCUGAAAUUCCAGCUUCUUACUCAGCCACUGAUUAUUUUUUUGUUUCUUUUGAUAUUUAAUAUUUUAAUUGUAUAAAACUUGUUUUUUUUCUAAACUGUAACAGUGUUUGCCUUUCACAUCUGUUGCGAUAUUGGCAGAAGGACUAAUGGAUUAGUAAAUCUUUUCUUAAACC